RNAcentral lists this ribosomal RNA (160 nucleotides) under Marmota monax (woodchuck). Its description in RNAcentral is "Eukaryotic large subunit ribosomal RNA". It matches the Rfam family "Eukaryotic large subunit ribosomal RNA", at positions 2825 to 2984 of the family's 3401-position model. Lineage: Eukaryota; Metazoa; Chordata; Mammalia; Rodentia; Sciuridae. The record is from Rfam by way of RNAcentral.
GAUAACUGGCUUGUGGCAGCCAAGUGUUCAUAGUGAUGUUUCUUUUUGAUCCUUCGAUGUCGGCUCUUCCUAUCAUUGUGAAGCAGAAUUCACCAAGCGUUGGAUUGUUCACCUACUAAUAGGGAACGUGAGCUGGGUUUAGACAGUUGUGAGACAGGAC